UUGCGGUUAAAAAGCUCGUAGUUGGAUUUCUGUCGAGGGCGGCCGGUCCGCACUAUGUGCGUGUAUCUGGUUCGGUCUUGGCAUCCUCUUGGGGAUCGUUUCUGUGCUUGAUUGCAUGGGGCGGAAUUCAAGACUUUUACUUUGAGGAAAUUAGAGUGUUCACGGCAAGCUAUCGCUUUGAAUACAUUAGCAUGGAAUAAUAAUAUAGGGCGUAAGUUCUAUUUUGUUGGUUUCUAGAACAUACGCAAUGAUCAAUAGGGAUAAUUGGGGGCACUCGUAUUAACGCGUCAGAGGUGGAAUUCUUAGAUUGCGUUACGACGAACUACUGCGAAAGCAUUUGCCAAGGAUGUUUUCAUUGAUCAAGAACGAAAGUAUGGGGAUCGAAGACGAUUAGAUACCGUCGUAGUCUAUACCAUAAACUAUGCCAACUAGAGAUUGGAGGUCGUUUUUUUUAUGACUCCUUCAGCACCUUAUGAGAAAUCAAAGUUUUUGGGUUCCGGGGGGAGUAUGGUCGCAAGGCUGAAACUUAAAGGAAUUGACGGAAGGGCACCACCAGGAGUGGAGCCUGCGGCUUAAUUUGACUCAACACGGGAAAACUUACCA
This 603-nucleotide ribosomal RNA is filed under the name uncultured marine eukaryote. RNAcentral describes it as "SSU rRNA". It matches the Rfam family "Eukaryotic small subunit ribosomal RNA", at positions 613 to 1220 of the family's 1831-position model. The record is from RNAcentral.